Carassius carassius (crucian carp) is the source of this 1737-nucleotide long non-coding RNA. RefSeq lists it as uncharacterized. The transcript has 5 exons. NCBI's taxonomy places the organism in Eukaryota, Metazoa, Chordata, Actinopteri, Cypriniformes, Cyprinidae. The record is from RefSeq and is a predicted model, not a curated record.
UCUUCUUAGUCUUCCCAUAUGCCAAUUCAAACAGCGAAAGAAUUCAGAUGGGCGUAACUCUAAAUGGAUCAUGCACACAGACUUUGGAACAAUAACUCAUCAAUUCACGACGAGGCGCCGUUUAAGCGCGAGCUGCUUGGGUUUCUGCACAUGUCCACGCAUGGGGACCAAUAACAGAUUCGAUCAUAGUAGUCCUCGGAGUUAGUAGCACUGGAUACUUGGCAGGAAUCUGGAGAACAAGUUGUGCACUUGAGCGUCAAAAGCCAAUGGCUGUUUGUAACUAAUUGACAUCGGUACUUUUCGUGACGUAGAUGCGAGUUAACGCGAUUCUCGGGAAUAGUUCGUGGUUUGAACAUAUGCAUUGCUGCAAAGACCUCUGCCUUUACAAGUGUUUGACAUUUGCUUGUGGAUUAGAUACUAUGGUGUUAUGGGUCACCUCAAGUUUGGCACUCAGAGAUGAAAGGUCAUCAUUGUCCACUGAGAGGAAAAGGAGACCUUGGAAAUCAGUGAUAAAACACGGAAAUGAACUGACCUCGGAUCAGGAGUCGGAAGACGAGCGGAGAGUGGGAGUAGCGAUAGUGGUGGAGGAGUAAACCCGGAGCAGGUGAACACAGCUGCAGACCGCCAUGGGCUCUCUUCCAUUGGUCCCGACUCUCCAUCUUCUGGUCUCUGAGAGACGGCAGGGGCCAGCCAGGGAGCGUCGGAGUGGGCAGGCGAGGCAGCUCGCUUUCCCCGCCGGCUACCGGCUCCUCGGCAGCGAGGAAGGAGAGAAAUCAAUACUGAAGAGAGAUGCUGCCAGGGGUCGCCCAACGUUGCCUCCAGCCAUAGAGCCAUGGGAGCCCGAGUGUUCGGCUUUCUCUCUCUCGCAGCCCAAUCUCAGUCAACUCGUAUCAGCUAAAGCGAGGGCCAACAGCCUUGACGCUCUUCAUGCAACACCGAUUGUGUGUGUGCUUGCUUGUGUGGUUCUGCCAGAGGGCCUUUACAGGAUCGGCAUCACUUGAUAAAACUUUGCCUGCUGGAGAACAAGUAGAAAAAGAAUGUCAAAGGUCUUUCUUUCCCCCAUCUUUGAUUCCUAUUUCACCAUAAGUGCACAUUCCCCCUGACUGUUGUAAUGAGUGCUUGACAGAGAUCUCUUUUACACUAAAUCAAGAGGCCUUCUUUUUUUAGUGGUCCUCCUCCUGAGCAUGCACAAAGUGCUCUACAUCUGAUGGGCUGGGAUGAGAGAGCAGUUUGAAUCCUUUUUCCACCUGGUUUUAUCUGAUUUUUUUUUUUUAUGGACGCCACUAUUCGAGAGGCUUGGAAAAAGGACUUGGCCUUGAUUUGUAGGUGAAGGGUUUGGCGCCUACCCAUCCUGGGCACUUUGUAACCAUUUUCACCCUUGACCGUGGCACUUGAUGUGUAUUAAUAACAGUGAGGACCAAUCGAGCACAGUGCAAGAUGGAGAAGUUCCAAAAAAGUUGAUCCCACUGGGAUGUGGACAACUGAAACAUGGCCUGAGCUAGAUAUCAACAAUUCGAAAAGUGGAGUGCCUGGUGGCAGUGGAUAUUUCCUGUAUCUUUGGAUGCUCAACGAGAAGUUGGAUUCGGUUUUGGACUAAAUCUUGAUCACCACAGACAAUCAAGAGGAGAUGUUUUUUAUUUAAUUACAGUAGAUAACUGUUUUUCAGUAAGACUGUGUUGUUUUUGUUGAAUCUCUUUUUUUGUCAUCAAGUAAGUAUUUUUGGACAAUAAAGGUAAG